RNAcentral lists this transfer RNA (106 nucleotides) under Actinomycetota bacterium. RNAcentral's name for it is "tRNA-Tyr". Lineage: Bacteria; Bacillati; Actinomycetota. The record is from RNAcentral.
GGCGGGGAAGUCCCAACGUGGUUAGCGUGAUGGUCGCUCCCGUAUGCACAGUGGACUGUAAAUCCGUCGGCGUACGCCUACCAAGGUUCGAAUCCUUGACCCGCCA